UAGAGUUUGAUCCUGGCUCAGAUCGUACGCUGGCGGCAGGCCUAACACAUGCAAGUCGAGCGGUAACACAGAGGAGCUUGCUCCUUGGGUGACGAGCGGCGGACGGGUGAGUAAUGCCUGGGGAUCUGCCCGAUAGAGGGGGAUAACUACGGGAAACUGUAGCUAAUACCGCAUAACGUCUACGGACCAAAGUGGGGGCUCUUCGGACCUCAUGCUAUCGGAUGAACCCAGGUGGGAUUAGCUAGUUGGUGAGGUAAUGGCUCACCAAGGCGACGAUCUCUAACUGGUUUGAGAGAAUGACCAGUCACACUGGAACUGAGACACGGUCCAGACUCCUACGGGAGGCAGCAGUGGGGAAUAUUGCACAAUGGGCGCAAGCCUGAUGCAGCCAUGCCGCGUGUGUGAAGAAGGCCCUCGGGUUGUAAAGCACUUUCAGCGGGGAGGAAGGGUCACUAGUUAAUACCUAGUGACAUUGACGUUACUCGCAGAAGAAGCACCGGCUAACUCCGUGCCAGCAGCCGCGGUAAUACGGAGGGUGCAAGCGUUAAUUGGAAUUACUGGGCGUAAAGCGCACGCAGGCGGUUUGUUAAGUCAGAUGUGAAAUCCCCGAGCUCAACUUGGGAACUGCAUUUGAAACUGGCAAGUUAGAGUCUUGUAGAGGGGGGUAGAAUUCCAGGUGUAGCGGUGAAAUGCGUAGAGAUCUGGAGGAAUACCGGUGGCGAAGGCGGCCCCCUGGACAAAGACUGACGCUCAGGUGCGAAAGCGUGGGGAGCAAACAGGAAAAGAUCCCCUGGUAGUCCCCGC
Molecule: ribosomal RNA, 804 nt
Filed under: uncultured bacterium
Lineage: Bacteria
Description: bacterial SSU rRNA
Rfam family: Bacterial small subunit ribosomal RNA
Source: RNAcentral